This 429-nucleotide ribosomal RNA is filed under the name Triticum aestivum (bread wheat). RNAcentral describes it as "partial small subunit ribosomal RNA". Lineage: Eukaryota; Viridiplantae; Streptophyta; Magnoliopsida; Poales; Poaceae. The record is from RNAcentral.
AUGGUGCCGACUCGAGCUAUCAACAAACGCACGGUUGAGCAGGCUCUCUCCGACAGUAGUUGGUUGGAGGAUUGCCAGUUGGGAUUCUCUUUCAUGGCCCAGCUACAGCUGAUGCAUCUCAUCCAGGCUAUCGGUACGGUACCUCGGGACUCGGAGGGCGCGGACGAGUUCACCUGGCCAUGCUCCAGCUCGGGCUCCUACUCUGCCAGAUCGACUUAUGACAGACUUUGCGUGGACCGGAGGGGGUUUGACUCCACAUUCAUCGCGAUGAUCUGGGCGCUAUGGAAACAACGGAAUGCACGGGUCUUCAAUAGGCUAGAGCAACAACGUACCCCAACGGAGCUUGUGAUGAUUUUGCUAAAUGAGGUUGCCGAGUGGAAGGCAGCCGGGUUGGGUGUAGGAGGACUCCAACGAUUCGUGAGGAGUUAG